Molecule: non-coding RNA, 115 nt
Filed under: human gut metagenome
Description: FMN riboswitch (RFN element)
Rfam family: FMN riboswitch aptamer (RFN element)
About the family: The RFN element is a highly conserved domain that is found frequently in the 5'-untranslated regions of prokaryotic mRNAs that encode for flavin mononucleotide (FMN) biosynthesis and transport proteins. This element is a metabolite-dependent riboswitch that directly binds FMN in the absence of proteins.
Source: RNAcentral
GUGCUCCGGGGUCGGUGAAAGUCCGAACCGGCGGUGAUAGUCCGCGACCCGCCAGCUUUGGCGGCUGACUCGGUGGAAUUCCGGGACCGACGGUUACAGUCCGGAUGGGAGGAGC